RNAcentral lists this ribosomal RNA (253 nucleotides) under uncultured bacterium. RNAcentral describes it as "partial 16S ribosomal RNA". It matches the Rfam family "Bacterial small subunit ribosomal RNA", at positions 524 to 776 of the family's 1533-position model. The record is from RNAcentral.
UACGGGGGGGGCAAGCGUUGUUCGGAAUUACUGGGCGUAAAGGGCUCGUAGGCUGCCAACUAAGUCAGACGUGAAAUCCCUCGGCUUAACCGGGGAACUGCGUCUGAUACUGGAUGGCUUGAGAUUGGGAGAGGGAUGCGGAAUUCCAGGUGUAGCGGUGAAAUGCGUAGAUAUCUGGAGGAAUACCGGUGGCGAAGGCGGCAUCCUGGACCGGCAUUGACGCUGAACAGCGAAAGCUAGGGGAGCAAACGGG